This 278-nucleotide long non-coding RNA is filed under the name Ananas comosus (pineapple). RNAcentral's name for it is "long non-coding RNA (ACOM_LNC042736)". The record is from RNAcentral. Lineage: Eukaryota; Viridiplantae; Streptophyta; Magnoliopsida; Poales; Bromeliaceae.
CAUUAUUAUUGCUCUUCUUGGAAAAAUAACUGCGACGUCCCAACUUUUCAGAAGGUCAUCAAUUCUAUAACUAUUUCUGUCCUAACACGCUCCCCGACUUUCUAGAAUGUUACCCAUCCUAGAAUUACUCAUGUCUUAACACGCUUAACUCUCUCAACCUCUUAAGUCUAGAUACCGUCCAAAAUAUUUUAGCCGGAUUGAAAAUUUAGUCCUAUUAUAUCUCAUAUAGAGAACUAUCUGGAGUCUCACAAUAGCUUUGUGACAAGAAGUGGGGCCUA